This 459-nucleotide ribosomal RNA is filed under the name uncultured bacterium. RNAcentral's name for it is "partial 16S ribosomal RNA". It matches the Rfam family "Bacterial small subunit ribosomal RNA", at positions 338 to 795 of the family's 1533-position model. The record is from RNAcentral.
CCUACGGGAGGCAGCAGUGAGGAAUAUUGGUCAAUGGCCGAGACGCUGAACCAGCCAAGUCGCGUGAGGGAAGACGGCCCUCCGGGUUGUAAACCCCUUUUGUCGGGGAGCAAAGCGAGUCACGUGUGACUCAUUGAGAGUACCCGAAGAAAAAGCAUCGGCAAACUCCGUGCCAGCAGCCGCGGUAAUACGGAGGAUGCGAGCGUUAUCCGGAUUUAUUGGGUUUAAAGGGUGCGCAGUGGGAGGGGCACGUCAGCGGUCAAAUUGCGGGGCUCAACCUCGUACUGCAGUUGACACUGCAUCCCUAGAGUGCGCGAGAGGUAUGCGGAAUGCGUGGUGUAGCGGUGAAAUGCGUAGAGAUCACGAAGAACACCGAUUGCGAAGGCGGCAUACCGGCGCGCAACUGACGCUCAUGCACGAAAGCGUGGGGAUCGAACAGGAUUAGAUACCCGUGUAGUC